GACGAAGGGGGCUAGCGUUGUUCGGAAUUACUGGGCGUAAAGCGCGUGUAGGCGGUUGUUCAAGUCAGGCGUGAAAGCCUUGAGCUCAACUCAAGAAAUGCACUUGAUACUGGAUGACUAGAGGACCGGAGAGGAUAGUGGAAUUCCCAGUGUAGUGGUGAAAUACGUAGAGAUUGGGAAGAACACCAGUGGCGAAGGCGGCUAUCUGGACGGUUUCUGACGCUAAGACGCGAAAGCGUGGGGAGCAAACAGG
RNAcentral lists this ribosomal RNA (253 nucleotides) under uncultured bacterium. RNAcentral describes it as "partial 16S ribosomal RNA". It matches the Rfam family "Bacterial small subunit ribosomal RNA", at positions 524 to 776 of the family's 1533-position model. The record is from RNAcentral.